GAGCUCUGCAGCCAAAGCUUCAAAAAAACCAAAAAAAAGCGGUCAUGGACACCCUCUCUCCUGGAGGAAGGCAGACGAGAAGCAGUUUCUGCUGCUCACGGAGAAGCAAGAAGAGGAGUCGUGAGGAGCGGCGAGUCAAGAGUGAGCCUGAAGAGAGGAUGAGGAAGAUGGAAGAGAAAGCUCACGGAGAAGCAAGAAGAGGAGUCGUGAGGAGCGGCGGGUCAAGAGUGAGCCUGAAGAGAGGAUGAGGAAGAGAGAAGAGGAGGGAGGAGAAAGGCACUCUGGGCAAAGGGACCGCCCUGGCAGCAGGGCUGUGGUCACGUAAGAGCAUGGCUGGCACCUUUGGUGCCCUUGCUCCCUUUGCGCUGGGCGACCUCCCUGUAAGCAGGGCUCGGGUCUUUGCUUUUGUUGGCCUUUUGCCAUGUUGCUCCUUGGCUGCCUGGAGAGAGGGACGAGCCUGUAAGGAGGCUGCGAGUCCCUUUCUCCGCCCCUGGGGGGACAGGGAGCUCACCGGAACCCAGGCCCGCCCUGUAAGCAGGGCCGGGCUCUUUGCCCCCCGCGGCUUUCCGCCUGCCGGCCCCUGGCCGGCGCCACCCCCGCGCUCGGGGUGUGGGCCAGCAUUGGCCCUUUGGCGCCCCGUGAAGCCCCUUGGCAUGUUGAGUGCUCCGGCCUCCAUGCAGCCUGGGGGCAGGCCUGAGCCUCUCCUCCCGCUCCUGGGUACGGACCGGGCCCCCGACGUUGGCUGGCUGCCCUGGGCUCCCUUUCUCUCCUGGAAAGCCGUGUUACAUGUCUCCUGUCUGCUGUGCUUGUCCCUUCCCUCUUGUCCUCUGUCCUGUUGGGAGUGAGUGAGCUAGCGAGUGAGCUUGUCCUCUAGGCCUCUGUAAAAAGCGCUGCAGCGUAUUAGCUUUGGCUUCCCAGGCCUGAAAGAAGGGCUCUGGGCAGUAGCAGAGGGGUCCCGUCUCGGGCCCAGAUUUGAGGAGGGGGGAGAGUUCCGGCUUGCCCCUUCCUCCCCCGGGCAGAGCGGAGCCACUUGGUAAUGGUGUGGGCGAGGGGACCUGCCCGUAGUCGGGGCCCAGGUCUGUGCCCGCGUGGCCGCCUGUCCUGCUGGCCACGUGGCCAGCGUGGCGGCCCUGUAGUCGGGGCGUGCGUCACAAGCCGUGGAGCCCUGUGCGCCCGGAGCAGCUUGGCCUCCCUGUAAGCAGGGCGGAGGGGCCUGCCCUCCCGCGGCCUGCUGCUUUAGCCAGCCACCAGGAAUGACCCCUCCCCGGCCCGCUAAGGGGGCAGGCGGAGGAAGUGCCCUGCCGCAGGGCGCUGUGCGGCCUCCGGGCCGCUUCUUCUGGGGGCCGCCUGCCCGCAGCCGGGCUCGAGGUGCCCCCUGGGCUCCUGCAGACGUGCUGUUGUGCUGCAGCCGGGCUGGCCAGCCCGUAGGCCGGGCCUAGGCCAGAGCCUCCUGCCCCGUGGGGCUCGGGGCUAGUGCCAGCGCUGGGGGCAGCGCCCUGUAAGCAGGGCCGCGCACGUCCCCUGCGCUGUGCGGGAGGUGCUGGGAG
Long non-coding RNA from Dromaius novaehollandiae (emu), 1547 nucleotides. RefSeq lists it as uncharacterized. The transcript is spliced from 3 exons. NCBI's taxonomy places the organism in Eukaryota, Metazoa, Chordata, Aves, Casuariiformes, Dromaiidae. The record is from RefSeq and is a predicted model, not a curated record.